GGAAGAAAAAAUUUCAGAAGCAGAGCAUAUUUCUACAACCAAACUUGGAGCUUUGAAAUUUAAUUGAUUUUCUGUUGUUGGCUUAUUCGUACGGCGAAUCCUGUAUGCAGCUUGGUAGAUAACUUCUCCAUUUACAUUAAAUCACUCAGCAAAUGAAGUUUGCAUAUGCUUUUAUUACAUGUUGCCUCAGAGCUAUACUGGGCCACUUUCUCCGGAGGACAACAUUGAAGAGGUUAGUGAAACUUGAAUUUCCUGCUAUGGAAGAAAGUUACAAAUAGAUUCAAAACUGAAAUUCUACAAGGCAAGAUGAUGAAUUUACGAUUCUCCCUGCAUAGGCAUGCGAGGAUUUUCUUCAGAAUUCAUACUUGAUUUUUAAAUGGCUGGGCAGUAGAUUUAUUUCUGAGGCACAUAAAUUUAGUUAUCGAAGUGGCUUUAAUGCUUUGUGGUCUACAAGAGUGAGAAUGUGACCAGCUAGAGAAGAGAAGAAGAUUGCAACAUAUUUUUCUCUUUAUCACUCGUCUGAGUUUUGGUUUGACUUUCCAUAUAAGCUCUCUGUUAUAUUUUAUUUUUCUGGAGAUAGUGUUGUUCGGAAGUUUGACAAUCAUCCCAAUAUAACAUC
Pistacia vera is the source of this 619-nucleotide long non-coding RNA. RefSeq lists it as uncharacterized. The transcript has 3 exons. The record is from RefSeq and is a predicted model, not a curated record. NCBI's taxonomy places the organism in Eukaryota, Viridiplantae, Streptophyta, Magnoliopsida, Sapindales, Anacardiaceae.